AGGCUCAGAGGCAGAGCUCUGGGGGUCUCACCAUGGCCCAGACCCCUCUUCUGUUCCUCCUGCUCUCUCUCUUCACAGGCUCUGUGGCCUCCUCUGAGCUGACUCAGGAGCCUGCAAUGUCAGUGGCCUUGGGACAGACGGCCAGGAUCACCUGCCAGGGAGAUCUCUUACGUAGCUAUUACUCAGCUUGGCACCAGCAGAAGCCAGGCCAGGCUCCUGUGCAGGUCAUGUAUCAUAACGACAAGCGGUCCUCAGGGAUUCCUGACCGAUUCUCUGGCUCCUACUCAGGGAACACAGUCACCCUGACCAUCAGUGGGGCACAGGCUGAGGAUGAGGCUGACUAUUACUGCCUGGUAUGGGAUAGUGAAAACAAGAAGUUCACAGUGACACAGGCAG
This is a non-coding RNA of Otolemur garnettii (small-eared galago), 396 nucleotides long. Lineage: Eukaryota; Metazoa; Chordata; Mammalia; Primates; Galagidae. The record is from the annotation of a RefSeq genome assembly.